Molecule: long non-coding RNA, 188 nt
Organism: Selaginella moellendorffii
Lineage: Eukaryota; Viridiplantae; Streptophyta; Lycopodiopsida; Selaginellales; Selaginellaceae
Exons: 2
Source: RefSeq, a predicted model, not a curated record
GGAGAUGGCCCAGUCCUCGAGCUGCUCCCAGUGCGAUUUUGUGCCGUAUUGCCCAAGAUGGAGCUGGAGCGUAAGCGGUGGAUCCUGAUCCAGGCAAAAGGGAAAGCAGAAAGAAAGACUUACUAUGUAUCAGCUCUUGGAGGUUUCCCUUGGGAAUGUAGUCGUAAACGAGCAGCUUUUCGUCUUUU